GGGUGAGGAAGGGUCCGGGGCUCUGGGGUGGCAGCAGUGCUUCCCCAGCUGCGCUGCUCGGAGAGGGAGCUCCUUCCCCGAGCUCUCGUGAGCGAAGAGCCAGAGCUAAUGCCAGAUGGAGCUGGAGCCAACUGAUCCUCCAGUCCCAACACCAUCACCAGUGGCUAAUGAAGAAACCACCCUUUGACUUUUCCCAGGACAAUGCCUGGAAAAGCAGUGUUUCUGUCUGUGGCCAGAGAGCUGCUGCCACACUGAGGGACGGCUUUGUGCUCCUGCCAUCCUGCCUGGCUGCAAGGACUGACAGUGGCUGCAGAAGUUAUUUGCUUUGCAUCUUGCAAAGGCCUCUUUGAAGACCCGAACAAAUAUUUGUACAGUGCUGUUCCUUGAGCACCACGGCACUGCUCUAAUUCCAUGGAAUCUGUGCCAUGGAGCCCCUGCAGUGACAACCCCAGGGCCCCCCUGGCUCUGCCUCCUUCUGCCUUUGCACCACAGCCUCGGGGCCAAGUGCUUCCAGGGCUCUGUCCCAAAUCAUCCACAGCAGGAAGGAUUUGAGGAAGGUUCAGCAGAGCAGCUGAGUGCAAACCUCUGACCAGAGGCCUCGUGGGUGUCAGCAGCAUUGGGCAGAGCUUUCCUGGAAAGGUCAGGUCCAGAUGAAGAUUUAAUAUAUUUAUUUCACUGGCCGAAGCAAAUGCCUCUCAAAUACUAAUUAAAUGUAUGUCACUCAGCUAGGGCUGUUGCUGGGGUUAUUUUUCUUGCUCCAGUGACAAAUAUGGCCAAUUAAUUCAACAGUAUCUCUUUUCUUGCAUUCAUUUUCUCCCUCCAUCACAUGCUUGAAGGAGAGCAAAAUCAAACUGACAGCUGAUAGGGUUUUCAAAUCCAAUGGGCAAAGUGCUUGGAGCCUCUUCCUUUGGACUGCAGGGCUCUGCUGGGGCCCCCCUUCCUUCUGUGAAUCAAAUCUCCAUAUCAAGCCUUGUUUUAGCCUGUCUCCAGUCUCCCUGUUUGAUUUCUAUUUACUGACCUUGCACGUGGCUCCCUGCUGGCCUGUGCUGUCCCCUGGCAGGAGCUGCACUCCCAGCCCUGCAAGAGGAGAGCUGAGAGACCUGGCCCUGGAAUCACUUAUUUUAUCCCUGGUUCUGAUGGGGCCAGGGCUUCCUGCAGCCCCAAAUAUGAAUUUUAACAAGGCUGAGCCCUUAGGGGUUAUUUUUGCCAUAUGCCCAAAGGGAGUGAAUGAUUUCCUUUGGGAAAUCCAACAUAUUGAGGGGUUAGAAUGGGAAAGAGGCUGAGCUCUGUGCUCAGGGUGGUCUGGGCUGAGGCACAGCUCCUCUCCUUAUCUGUGUAAAUGUUGUGCUGAUGAAUGAGGCCAGAGCUACAUAUCAAAAUCAAUCAGGAUUCCAGUUAAUUACAGCAGUCAGGACCAGGUCAGUUUUUUCUCCUCUUUGCUCCAGCCUUGUGGCAGAAGGGCACAGAGGUCAGAAAAAAAUCCACUCAGAUCUCCAUCCUUGAACUGCUACAGUAGUUCACACUUAGUCAAUAAACAAGAGUAAUAAGGAGAUGCUUUGUGGAAUGGGUAAAGAGGGAGCCUUGGAUGUGGCCAGGUCUCCAAGCACCUCAGCUCCCUGCCUGUAAAGUGGAGCUUCCCCUGCUUUGGUGUCGUUGGAUUUUUCUCUGUUCCUUCUGCCAGACUCUUGGGAGCAUUCACAGCCCCUGAUUUCUGGGACAGAAUGAGAUGCAUGUCGCAGCCUUUGGAGAGCAGAGGUUUCUGGCCCCAUGGGCAGGCGUGUUCUGUCCUUUAUCUCCAUCUGAGAUGGAUUUUGGAGAUCAAGGCUAAGGCUCUCUGCUGCUCUGAUGCUAUUGAUGUCAAUCACAUCGUGACGCAGGGAAAUUGACUCUCUCCUUUUAAUUACAGUCAACAUUAAACCUGAGUCCUCAAGGUUCAGGUUCUUACCUUUGGCCUGCCCAGGACCUAUAGAUCACUCAAAUCUCAUGUCAGCUCUCUCAGUAGUUUUUAUUUGCUGUUGUCCAGGUUUAGUGCUGGUUCUCUGCAAAUGUCUCCAGUGGACAGGCUGCAUGCACACGGGGUAACCAGCCACCCUAAUUGCUCCUGGUGAUCUGUAAAUUAAAUAAGGUGACAAUUAAAUUCACCUUGGUGUUCUGGUGGCGGAGUCAAUGGCUGCCAGUGCUGGAUCACCAGCUGCUCCCCUCUGGGUCACAGUCUGGUGACUCUCCCAGCAAUAAACUCAACCAUGUUUGUGCAGGAAAAGCCUGCAAUAAAACGUGCAAGAAACUGCAAAGAACUGCCUGAUA
Long non-coding RNA from Passer domesticus (house sparrow), 2304 nucleotides. RefSeq lists it as uncharacterized. NCBI's taxonomy places the organism in Eukaryota, Metazoa, Chordata, Aves, Passeriformes, Passeridae. The transcript is spliced from 3 exons. The record is from RefSeq and is a predicted model, not a curated record.